Molecule: ribosomal RNA, 597 nt
Filed under: Inonotus hispidus
Lineage: Eukaryota; Fungi; Basidiomycota; Agaricomycetes; Hymenochaetales; Hymenochaetaceae
Description: eukaryotic LSU rRNA
Rfam family: Eukaryotic large subunit ribosomal RNA
Source: RNAcentral
CUGCGAGUGAGCGGGAUGAGCUCAAAUUUAAAAUCUGGCGGUCGUUGUGGCCGUCCGAGUUGUAGUCUGGAGAAGUGUUAUCCGCGUCGGACCGUGUACAAGUCUCCUGGAAUGGAGCGUCAUAGAGGGUGAGAAUCCCGUCCAUGACACGGACGCCCGAUGCUUUGUGAGGCACUCUCGAAGAGUCGAGUUGUUUGGGAAUGCAGCUCAAAAUGGGUGGUAAAUUCCAUCUAAAGCUAAAUAUUGGCGAGAGACCGAUAGCGAACAAGUACCGUGAGGGAAAGAUGAAAAGCACUUUGGAAAGAGAGUUAAAUAGUACGUGAAAUUGUUGAAAGGGAAACGCUUGAAGUCAGUCGCGUCCCGUGGAACUCAGCCUGGCUUCGGCCUGGUGUAUUUUCUAUGCGGACGGGUCAACAUCAGUUUUGGCCGGCGGAAAAAGGCAGAGGGAAUGUAGCGCCGCUUCGGUGGCGUGUUAUAGCCCUCUGUCAAAUACGCUGGCGGGGACUGAGGACCGCAGCACGCCCUUGCGGCCGGGGGUUCGCCCCACGUUCGUGCUUAGGAUGUUGGCAUAAUGGCUUUAAGCGACCCGUCUUGAAA